CACCUGCGCGCCCCAUCUCUUCAGGUCCAGCGCCGCCUACCCCCAUUUCGCCAUUUUUACCGGCGCGCCCGCCCCGAGGCGCAGAGGUAGGGCGAACGGUGGCCGCAGCUCCUUUCUCCCGGCUCAGCCGCCGGCCAGCAGCCGCGACGGAACCUCGGCCCACGUGACGCGGGCGCGCGCUUAUGGAACUGACGGUGGAGUUCCGCGAAGAAGGCGCUGCAGAGAAUUCGCAAACACCAACUGUAACCAGAGCAGCUAGGGGCGCGGCGGCGAGAGAAGCUGCGAAGCGCAUGCGCGCAGGACGCUGCGGGAGGGGAAAGGAGGGGAGGAGCGUGGAGCGUUCGCCUAGUUCCCGCGUUGCGGGGCGCACACGAGACUUGGCGACUCGCAGCCUCAGGGUUGCGUGCCUCCAGUCCUAGCCUGCGCAGGCGGCCUGAGCUUGGGGCUCUGCUACGCCACCCACGCCCACCUUGGCGGAGGGCGGGGCCCCACGGCUCUCAAACUUGCGCGCCAAAGACGGAGCCACCUGGCGUACUGGUGGAAAGCGCAGUCUUCAGAGCCACAUCCGUAGUUAGGUAUUCGGACUCUGAGAUUCUAGGGUGGGGCCCAGGCCAUCCGCGUUUUCACCCAGCAUCGUGUGAUUCGGCAGCAGGUGGUCUGUGGCCCGCACUUUGAGAAACCCUGGUGCAGAAGGUUCAUGGUUAGUGGUUCUCUCUGGAAGGAACAGUCUAAGGUUUGUAGGACUUGCGUUCCACCUACCAAAGCUAAUCGAGUUAGAAGGCUCCAGACUGUGAAGCCUGAGGUGUCAUUUCUCAUUACGGUGGUGAGAGGACGGGACCACACACUGUGAAGUCUUCGUUCCCACAUCCCACACUUCAUUCUUGCUGCCUAAGUUGUCGCCGUGGGACUAUUGAAAGGGUAUCAGCGAUAUUCAUCUUUCCUAUAAAUAGGAUCUGCUUUCUACAAUUUCCUGCCAGAUGUGUAAAGAUUGCAAGAAUUGAAGGUAUUUCUUCAACUGAAGACCUUUACAGAUACUCAGAUGACUGAAAUCCUCUAUCACUGGCUGUACAUGGUGGCUCACGCCUGUAAUCCCAGCACUUUGGGAGGCCGAGGCAGAUGCAUCAUCUGAGGUCAGGAGUUCGAGACCAUCCUAGCCAACAUGGUGAAACCCUGUGUCUACUAAAACCACAAAAAAUUAGCUGGGCAUUGUGGCAGGCGCCUGUAAUCCCAGCUAUUCCGGAGGCUGAGGCAGGAGAAUCACUUGAACCCGGGAGGUGGAGGUUGCAGUGAGCCGAGAUGGUGCCAUUGCACUCCAGCCUGGGCAGCAAGAGUGAAACUCCAUCUCA
Molecule: non-coding RNA, 1346 nt
Filed under: Pan troglodytes (chimpanzee)
Lineage: Eukaryota; Metazoa; Chordata; Mammalia; Primates; Hominidae
Source: RNAcentral